AGAAUGUAUCAAGUGCGAGUAGCGUGGGUAAUUGUUGCUUUAAGAAAAAGAAGUCUCACAAUAUUCAAUGUUCCAUAAUAAAAAAAAAAAUCGCAACAUGUUUUAUUUCUAAAAAUCAACCGAACCACAUAUUUUUUUCCUCUUACGAUUCGAAUGAUAUUUAUUAUCAUAACCGCUCAAACCGCACCGCAGAAACCCUAAUUUUAUAUAAUAUCUUCUUAAUUUUUAUGUUAAUAUGUUUGAACUAUUCCCUAACCUGAUUUUCCAAUUUCAAAUUUUCAAUUAU
This 286-nucleotide long non-coding RNA is filed under the name Lathyrus oleraceus (garden pea). RNAcentral describes it as "Pisum sativum (pea) long non-coding RNA (PSAT_LNC013758)". The record is from RNAcentral. Lineage: Eukaryota; Viridiplantae; Streptophyta; Magnoliopsida; Fabales; Fabaceae.